This 448-nucleotide ribosomal RNA is filed under the name uncultured bacterium. RNAcentral's name for it is "bacterial SSU rRNA". It matches the Rfam family "Bacterial small subunit ribosomal RNA", at positions 328 to 792 of the family's 1533-position model. The record is from RNAcentral.
GACCCAGACUCCUACGGGAGGCAGCAGUCGGGAAUAUUGCGCAAUGGAGGAAACUCUGACGCAGUGACGCCGCGUAUAGGAAGAAGGUUUUCGGAUUGUAAACUAUUGUCAUUAGGGAAGAUAAAAGACUGUACCUAAGGAGGAAGCCCCGGCUAACUACGUGCCAGCAGCCGCGGUAAUACGUAGGGGGCAAGCGUUAUCCGGAUUUACUGGGUGUAAAGGGAGCGUAGACGGCGAUGCAAGUCUGAAGUGAAAGGCGGGGGCCCAACCCCCGGACUGCUUUGGAAACUGUAUGGCUGGAGUGCAGGAGAGGUAAGUGGAAUUCCUAGUGUAGCGGUGAAAUGCGUAGAUAUAAGGAGGAACACCAGUGGCGAAGGCGGUCUGCUGGACAGCAACUGACGGUGAGGCGCGAAAGCGUGGGGAGCAAACAGGAUUAGAUACCCCAGUA